RNAcentral lists this ribosomal RNA (429 nucleotides) under bacterium. RNAcentral describes it as "partial 16S ribosomal RNA". It matches the Rfam family "Bacterial small subunit ribosomal RNA", at positions 355 to 776 of the family's 1533-position model. The record is from RNAcentral. RNAcentral also lists the same sequence under 1 other name.
UAGGGAAUCUUCCACAAUGGACGCAAGUCUGAUGGAGCAACGCCGCGUGAGUGAAGAAGGUUUUCGGAUCGUAAAGCUCUGUUGUUGGUGAAGAAGGAUAGAGGCAGUAACUGGUCUUUAUUUGACGGUAAUCAACCAGAAGGUCACGGCUAACUACGUGCCAGCAGCCGCGGUAAUACGUAGGUGGCAAGCGUUGUCCGGAUUUAUUGGGCGUAAAGCGAGCGCAGGCGGAAUGAUAAGUCUGAUGUGAAAGCCCACGGCUCAACCGUGGAACUGCAUCGGAAACUGUCAUUCUUGAGUGCAGAAGAGGAGAGUGGAAUUCCAUGUGUAGCGGUGGAAUGCGUAGAUAUAUGGAAGAACACCAGUGGCGAAGGCGGCUCUCUGGUCUGCAACUGACGCUGAGGCUCGAAAGCAUGGGUAGCGAACAGG